This 1748-nucleotide long non-coding RNA is filed under the name Helianthus annuus (common sunflower). RNAcentral describes it as "hypothetical non coding rna". The record is from RNAcentral. Lineage: Eukaryota; Viridiplantae; Streptophyta; Magnoliopsida; Asterales; Asteraceae.
UUCCUUCUAUUCUUCUCUCUAUACGUUGGUGUUCCAACCAAUAAUCACCUAUACGAUAUUCUGUCCGAUCGAUUCGGAAACCAACGGAUGAAUGCCAAAGUGCUGUCUAAAUAAGACUAUACUGUGUGAAUUUCGUUAACGUUCUGAUCUCGUGACCAUCAUUAGGUUUGAUUGAGUUUAACACUAAUACGUAUUCCACUCUGUUAAACUAAAUGUUUAACUACCAGAAACUCUGCACUAUACACUUACAAUCAAAACAGAUGCUUAGUUAUCAGAAGACUUAGAAUCAGGAGGCCUGUUAAAUCAAGACUAUAUGCUAACAAGUGAUUAAGUCUUUGCAAAUCUUUAAUUACUGGCAGUAACUGGGGGUAUGUGCAUAUUAUUACUGAUUUAUCACUCUUAGGUGGGUGAGCCUAAUUAGUGAUAUGGCCAAAGUCAUAGAUCCGGUCGAGUGAGAACUGGACCAGAUAAUUAUAAGAUAAGGGGCAAAUGUAAAAACUCUUAAUGCAGUGAAUUAUAACAAAGUUGUAAUUGCAGUGAUUAAGUCUUUGCCAAUCUUGAAGGAGCAAAUGUAAAGACACUUAAUACUGUAAAUUAUAACAAAUGUGUUUUUGUACAACAUGAAUGAACUCACCAGUAUUUCCUGCUGACCAAAUGUUUUUAAAACGCGUUUCAGGUGAUUACAGUAGAUUGGAAUAAGAGUUGUGAUACGGCACCAAAAGGCUUAAAGAAGUGGCUUAUUUUAUCAAUUAAACUAAAUCAAGAAAUGUUGUUUUAUGUAUUCGGGUUUAUCCUAUACUAAAGCUACCUUUGUAUAACAUGGGUUUACUCCCAUCUAUUUAAUAAAUAAAAUCCGGUGUUUCAAAACUCUGAUAUUUUUCCUAACUCACGGUUCUGAUGAAAUUUCCGCUGCAAUACUUUUCAAAAUAACCAUCGGUACCACUUGACUGCUCGCGGCUCCCAUCCAGGGUAUGGUCGGGGGUCGUGACAGAGGUGGUAUCAGAGCCACUGGUUUAAGCAAUUGGGUGUUGUUAUAAUACCUAAGCUUAAACGAAAAAGUUAGGAAAUUGCUAUUAACUGGUAAAUACAAUGGAACUCGUAUUAUUGUAUUAACUCAAUUCGACUUUAAUGAUAAUCACGAGAUCAAAACUCACAAUGAAUGACAAAGUGUAGCCGUAUACAGGCAGCACUUAAACAUCCGUUGGAUCAGUUUCAAUCAAUCGGAUAUAGUAUUGUACCAGUGAUUAGAGGUAUUACCCUAAUAACGAGCAGAGUUUCGGGGUUUAUGGUAUAAUACCGAGCUACUAUUUUGCUAUAAUAGAAGCUAAGAGAAGGAAAAGAAUAGAACGAUUUCAACUGAAGCUCGAACAUCUCAUUUAUAGGGCUGGAAAUGGGGCUCUCGCGCCCCGCGAGAGUGUUAAGACAGGGCUUCGCGGUCCGCGAGGAAGCAUAGGGCGGUUUUGGGUUGCUGAGUCAUAGCGUCAGGUUGACACGUGUAGGGACACGUGGCGUAACACGUGUCUGGAUUGAGAUGAGUCUCUCGCGCCCUGCGAGAGAUCUCUCUUAGUUGGUCGUGGCCUACGAGAACACCAAAAAUCAAAAUUUUUGAUUUCUCAUUUCGGUUUUCGUCGUACGCGUUUAGGGUUCCGAUUAGGGUUUGUUCUAGGGUGUUUUUGAGGGUUUUUACAAGACUAGCAUCUAGUUGUGUCUUAAUUAGUAUCAGUGUCGAGUCGUUAAAAAUAAUAAUA